ACCCUCGUAGCUAAAAAUGUUCAAAGCGCUGGCCUUGUAAGACAGAGACGGGGGCUAACCCCCUCCGAGAGUAU
Molecule: transfer RNA, 74 nt
Filed under: Caiman yacare (yacare caiman)
Lineage: Eukaryota; Metazoa; Chordata; Crocodylia; Alligatoridae
Description: tRNA-Thr
Rfam family: tRNA
About the family: Transfer RNA (tRNA) molecules are approximately 80 nucleotides in length. Their secondary structure includes four short double-helical elements and three loops (D, anti-codon, and T loops). Further hydrogen bonds mediate the characteristic L-shaped molecular structure. tRNAs have two regions of fundamental functional importance: the anti-codon, which is responsible for specific mRNA codon recognition, and the 3' end, to which the tRNAs corresponding amino acid is attached (by aminoacyl-tRNA synthetases). tRNAs cope with the degeneracy of the genetic code in two manners: having more than one tRNA (with a specific anti-codon) for a particular amino acid; and 'wobble' base-pairing, i.e. permitting non-standard base-pairing at the 3rd anti-codon position.
Source: RNAcentral